UUUGUUUUUAGUAAUUUAUAUCAGCUUGGAGGUGAAUUUAUGGGGGAGAUAUAGUAAUACUGAUUGUUGAUGCCUUUUUGUUGACCUUCUUGAAUGAGUUUGUGUUUUUAAUUGUUUAAAAAAACAAUUUAUUGCAAGAAAAAUGCUAGGAUGUUUUUCUGGAAAAUGCUCUAGAAACAUGAGAUUCAUAGUCAAACACCCUGAGCUACGACUUGUAAUAGCUUCUUGAGGUGAGUGCUACUCUGGUUUCCCUUUAUUUGUUGCAUAUUCAUUGAAUAUAGGGAAGGUUCUCUAAUGUAGUUUUUAUCCCUAAAAUUGAUUUAGUUGUUUCUAGUUAUUUUGGUUUUACGAAUUUUUUUUAUAUCUUCUGUUUCAUUAUCUACCUUUUUCAUGAAUGCCGGAAGCUUAUCCGAAAUGUACAGGGUGUGAGGGUGUGUAGCAACUGGAUUACCUUUUUUCUGGAUGAAAAGUGAUUAAUUAUUUCUUGGUCUGAUAAAAAAUAUAUUAAGUUCCUGUCAUUAAUUCAGUUUCAUGAUUUUUCAUUUCAAGACUAGACAGUUUUGAAAAUCCAUGAAGAAAAUUAAGGUAUUCUCCCUUAUAGGUUGAACAUACCAAAGGCAGGAUUUGGAGGCAAGUAUGGACAUUAUUUAUCUGAUGAUUGCUUGUAAUUAUUGUUGUCUGUAUAUAGUUAAAUCAUGAUUCCAAUUGUUUGCUUACUGUUAGAUUAUCUAUUUUUCCGAUUGUCCAGCUCAAGAACACCAAGGGCUAUACCUUGAAGUGUAGUCAAUGUACCUCUAUCAUGAUUUCCAAUAAAGUUUUUAAUUUUUUGUUAUUUUAUUGAUUCUUAACCCAUGAUUGAGGGCAUUCAUUAACACUUAGCUGGAUCCUUUCAGAAAGUGGAAAAGAAGAGGAAAAUAGCUGAUUUUUCCCCUUUUGAGUACAUAUUUUUUAAAAAUUUGAUGGCCAAGUCACUGGGUUUUGUAGUAUCUUAUGGUCCUACCUUUACUCUGUAUAUAAGUAAUUAUGAGCCACCCAUAUAUUCAAAUUUGUAGUUUAAUUGACUAUUCCCUUUUACUUUGGUGUGAUGUAGUCUUUUUUAUGGAGCUGAAGACCCUUCUAUUGUAGGAAUGAUGUUGGAUAGUGCCUUUUCAAACUUAUAUGAUCUCAUGAUAGAGCCUGUGGAUGUUUAUAAAAUUUGGCUGCCUAAAUUUAUUUUCAAUGGUUGGAUGGAACCUCAACAUUUUUGUAUUCAUUCUUCGAUGGGUGAGGUGAAAUUAAGGAGUAGAGAAUAUGACUGACAAGUUCAUCAUCUGGGCAACCUCAAUUCAUUGCCUGCACCGGUGGUAACCGGAGCUUCUCGAAUGCACCCUUGAUUGAAAACUCAGAUACUGAUCAAAUUGUUGUACCUGAUCUGAGUUUCUAUAUGACUUGUCCUUUUUUGUUUUUUAUUGAUAGAGGUUGAAGAGUUGAAAGUGAAAGGCUGGUCCUUUUUUUUUUAUUGUGAUAUAACUCUAUAUAUGACUUUUAUAGAAAAAAAGGAAGUCAAUUUUAAAUCUAUUAGUCUUAGAUUACAAAAACACUUAAGUCAUUUUGCUCUCUUUUGUUUAGCUUCUUGUGUUUCUCUCGAAUGGAGAAACAGAAUAACUAAUGGAAUUGAGAAUAACUAAUGAGCCUAGUCUUGUUUCUCAACUUUGAAACAUAGAUAGGUAGUGUGGAGAUUGGAGAAGGGGUUUCCAAAGCAGUAAUUUUUUUUUCUCUCUAGUGAAAAUAGGGACAUAAAAUGAUGAGGAUGAAAUGGCAUUGUUGUUGUUAUGGUUUUUUUUUUUUUUUUUUUUUUUUAAGAAAAUAGAAGCAGGAUCGGUCCAACAUAAAGUGAGAUCUAAAACAAAAAUUGAGAAAAAAAAUUUGUUAAAAAAGAGUGAUAUAUAAGACUUUUUUUUAACAUGUGUGACCUUUUUUACUUUAACAAAUUAAUAGCAAAUAUUGGUAGAUAUAAAACUUAAGUUUUAAUUAUUUUACUCUUGGGUCAACUCUGUAUAGUAGGAUUAUUUUAGAGAUAGUUAAUUGAUAUAUUUAUCACAUAUAUAACAAAAUGCAACUAGUAUCACUAACAUAAUUGAUAUAUGUUUGGUAUGUAUAUAGCUUAAGUUUUAGAUAUUGCCAAUGUUGGUGUAGACGAUACUACUGCAGUAGCUAAGGCAGUGAUCUUAAAGGGAACAAGGGACAUUGGAGCUAUUGUAGGAUCAAGGGUUGCAAAUAUAUAUGGCCUUGACAUUCUAGCUGAAGAAAUCCAGGUAAGUAUUCAUUUACAUGUAUUGGCAUUGUCUACCCAUAUUACAUGUAUUGGUAGUGAAAAAACAUGGUAUAUAGUGUGGGAGAAAACAGUUGAAGCAAGUUUCGAUUAGUCCCCAUCACCCUCAAGAGCAACUAGCUCAUCCUUGGGCAGACUAGAUUCAAUUUUCUCUACAUAUUAUUUUCAUUCAAUUUUUUGGAUUUAAUUUCUGUCUUUUGACUAGAUCUCCCAUAUUCUUUUUAGUUUCUAUUAAGUUUUGUGUCUGUUCUCAAGCUAGCCCAAGAAAACUGAAUAAUUUUAGUUAAAUGAUAUAAUAAAUUGUAACUAACCAUGACCUUGAAAAUUAAAAGGUACCUAAAAGUGAAACUUCCUUCACUCUCUCUAGCUAUUUUUAUUUUGAAAUGCUGCUUAAUUCAAGGAAGAGAGAAGCACAUGAAGCUGCAUAUGCAAUGUGUUGCAAUAUGGAACAAGCCUAGGUAGGGUGAGACUUGUGACAAUGCAUGGCCCUAAAUUCUCAACAAUUACAGUAACUGCCUCGCCAAAGGUAACAACAACUCUAGAAAAUAGCAUUAAUAAUUGCAUUUCUUGUAUUUGGCUUUGAAAAUUUGAAAUAUUUUGCUUUGAUCAAGGGGAGGGUUCUUUUAAUUUUGAUCUUGUGCAUUGUGAAACUUGAAAUCAUAGGUUUAUAAACUCCCUAAUGAGAAAGAGGUUGUUUUUGGGGCAUUAGACAAAUGGACAGCUUGGGAAACAGAGUUCCUAGUGAUUGCAAUGUCUAAGGCUUUAAAAAUCUUAAGGAAAAUGGGUCAUUGGGUUCCUGUAAUUCAAGUAAGAUCAUAACUAUUCUAAAGAAUUCUUGUUUUGUAUCAUACCAAGUGCUUUGUUUGCCUUUAUGAAUUUUUAAAGAAUAUUUGACAACAAUGGGAGCCAUCACCGCACGCUAACUUAGGCACAUUCAAGUGCUUGGCCCUGCAUGGUUCUAUGCUCAUGUAGGCGUGAUCAUCAACACAAUUCUCCAUAUUACUCUUUAAUUUCAACCAUUCAUAUUUUUAGUUUGACUAUUUUUCUUUUUUUAAAAAUAACCAUAUACAUGUUUUUUUAUAUAGUAGACAGUAAAAAAACUAUGUACUAGUGCUUUUCUUCGUGUUUGUGGAGGUCUUCUUCAAGCUAAGGGUCAAUAUCUUGGGGAAAUGAGAUUCAACUUUUCAUGCAAGGUUAGAAUCCAAGUUAUUGAAGGCUUUGAUGAAAUGAUUUUUGAAGUUCACAAUAUUUUAGCUUGAACUAUUUUCCUUGUGCAUUGGAACUAAUAUCGAUUACUCUUCUUUGAUAAAAUUGUUUACUCUAAAGUAUGGACAAAUUUUUAUGCUUAAAAAUUCAAACAUUGUGUUCGAGUAGUACACUAAAGUUUGAAGGCAUAGUUUACUCUUUAAAUAAAUGUAGUGUAGUUUGAUGGUUUCAUUCGUGAGAAAAAAAGAAGCUUUUGAAGCUGUGUUUUCUUGAUUUUAAUCCUGGUUAAGAAGCAUUGAACUAUGUGACCUGCAUACUUUAUUCUUUAAUUUAAGAUGUAGUUCAAAAUUGAGAAAUUUGCAUGUGUAAUGUAACUUCUAGUUUUCUGAACUGUGUUUUUGUUGUAUUUGUUUUGCCUCUGCUUGGAAAACUAUUUGUUUCAAAUAUUCUAAUAACAUAGUCAAUCAAAUGGUUUUCAACCCUAUGUAAAAGGGGUAGAGGGAGACCAAGAAGGACAUGGACAUAAAUAAUUAAAAGGGAUUUUAUAGUGAACUAUUCCCUUGAGAAUUUGGUUUUUAGUCGGGUCCAAUGAUGUUAUGUGAUCGAUCUAGCUGAUUUUACUUGAUGGGAUUAGACUAUUGUUGUUUUAUUCUCGAAACAUAAUAAUGUUUUGGAUUAGUUUAUUUUUGUUAAAAUAGAUUUUGAUCAAAAUCUUACUGAGAGGGCUUGAGCUUUUAAAAAAAAAGCUAUUGGCCCUGCAAAUUAUGUCAGUUUAAUUAAUUGUCUAAUAUAUCUAAUGCAUUUAUAAUACAAAUGUAACUAAUCUUUUGGUGUACUUCAUUAUUGUCUCAAAUUCUCUCGUUAACUUGCAUUUUCAAUUUCAUUCAUACACCCUGCUCUGUUUUGAUAUUCUAUAUGUGGUUAGUGUGUGUCCUACUGUUGGUGGAAGCAAUCCAGGAUAUGCAAGAGUUAUUUUGGAUGUUUUCUAAUGUUGAAAAACAUGUUUAUGAUAGCAUGAGGAGUUCAUCUUAUAAUUUUUAAUGUUGUUUAUUAAUCAUAAAAUGAUUGUUAUCAGUUGAUCGGGGAAAUAUCAGUUCACUAAUCACAAGGUGUUGCUUAGUUGGCUAAUUGAGCCCGAUAGGAUUUGAGGGAUUAAGUUGCACCCUAAACUGAAAAACUGCAAUGUUGUAAUGUUAGAUACUCACAUAGGUACAUAUACCCUCAAAAUAUUUUAAUAUUUUCAAAAAAUACGUUCUAAGACGAUUCUUUGAAAAACCGUCAUAGAAUGUCUAC
Glycine soja is the source of this 4810-nucleotide long non-coding RNA. RefSeq lists it as uncharacterized. Lineage: Eukaryota; Viridiplantae; Streptophyta; Magnoliopsida; Fabales; Fabaceae. The record is from RefSeq and is a predicted model, not a curated record. The transcript has 4 exons.